GGAAAGUCUGGUGAAGAAGUAUCCAGACAGUUGGCAUGUUCAUUUGCCUGUCAGUGUGCUGCGCUUCAACUGCAGUGUGCACCCAGAAACCAAAUACAGACCUCUGUCCCUUCAUCGCAGUGAGGGAACUAAACCUUAUACAUCGCCAAGAGAUCAGCCACUCAGUGAAGAUGACCUUGCGAAAUACACCUUCAAAAUCCAGAAACCAAACCCUUUGAAAGAAAUUGAGGCACUAAAACGAAUAUUCCGAGAAUCAGCGGACUGCAUUGUUGUUUCAUAAAGCGAAAAAACAGUGUGUCUAUUGUAACCGGUGUGUGACUUCAAACUGAAGGUCCAGUGAGGAAAGGAGCUCAGUAAAGACUACAUGGGCGAAGGAUGAAAAAUAACAAGCCAUUAAAAGUCAUAGAG
Sinocyclocheilus rhinocerous is the source of this 408-nucleotide long non-coding RNA. RefSeq lists it as uncharacterized. The record is from RefSeq and is a predicted model, not a curated record. Lineage: Eukaryota; Metazoa; Chordata; Actinopteri; Cypriniformes; Cyprinidae. The transcript is spliced from 4 exons.